AUUGAACGCUGGCGGCGUGCUUAACACAUGCAAGUCGAUCGGUAACAGGCGUAGCAAUACAUGCUGACGAGAGGCGGACGGGUGAGUAAUGCUUGGGAAUCUGCCUAUUAGUGGGGGACAACCCGGGGAAACUCGGGCUAAUACCGCAUACGCUCUACGGAGGAAAGCCGGGGACCGCAAGGCCUGGCGCUAAUAGAUGAGCCCAAGUCGGAUUAGCUAGUUGGUAGGGUAACGGCCUACCAAGGCGACAAUCCGUAGCUGGUCUGAGAGGACGACCAGCCACACCGGAACUGAGACACGGUCCGGACUCCUACGGGAGGCAGCAGUGGGGAAUUUUGGACAAUGGCGCAAGCCUGAUCCAGCCAUGCCGCGUGUGUGAAGAAGGCCU
This 388-nucleotide ribosomal RNA is filed under the name uncultured bacterium. RNAcentral's name for it is "bacterial SSU rRNA". It matches the Rfam family "Bacterial small subunit ribosomal RNA", at positions 30 to 417 of the family's 1533-position model. The record is from RNAcentral.